Molecule: ribosomal RNA, 324 nt
Filed under: uncultured eukaryote
Lineage: Eukaryota
Description: partial 18S ribosomal RNA
Rfam family: Eukaryotic small subunit ribosomal RNA
Source: RNAcentral
CCCUUAGAUGUUCUGGGCCGCACGCGCGCUACACUGAUGCAUUCAACGAGUUUCUUCCUGGUCCGAGAGGAAUGGGUAACCUUUUGAAAGUGCAUCGUGAUAGGGAUAGACUAUUGCAAUUAUUGGUCUUCAACGAGGUAUUCCUAGUAGACGUAGUUCAUCAGACUGCAUCGAUUACGUCCCUGCCCUUUGUACACACCGCCCGUCGCUCCUACCGAUUGAAUGCUCAGGUGAGCCAUUCGGACUUUCAUCAUGCUGGUUUCCAGUUUUGAUGAAGGAAAGUCUUGCGAACCUUAUCAUUUAGAGGAAGGAGAAGUCGUAACA